CAGUAGCCGCGGGAAUACGUAGGUGGCAAGCGUUGUCCGGAACUAUUGGGCGUAAAGGGCUCGCAGGCGGUUUCUUAAGUCUGAUGUGAAAGCCCCCGGCUCAACCGGGGAGGGUCAUUGGAAACUGGGAAACUUGAGUGCAGAAGAGGAGAGUGGAAUUCCACGUGUAGCGGUGAAAUGCGUAGAGAUGUGGAGGAACACCAGUGGCGAAGGCGACUCUCUGGUCUGUAACUGACGCUGAGGAGCGAAAGCGUGGGGAGCGAACAGGAUUAGAUACCCCGGUAGUCCCUGUCUCUUAUAC
RNAcentral lists this ribosomal RNA (301 nucleotides) under uncultured bacterium. RNAcentral describes it as "partial 16S ribosomal RNA". It matches the Rfam family "Bacterial small subunit ribosomal RNA", at positions 509 to 807 of the family's 1533-position model. The record is from RNAcentral.